RNAcentral lists this unclassified non-coding RNA (378 nucleotides) under uncultured Gammaproteobacteria bacterium. RNAcentral's name for it is "contains 16S-23S intergenic spacer region". Lineage: Bacteria; Pseudomonadati; Pseudomonadota; Gammaproteobacteria. The record is from RNAcentral.
UCCGGUUCAUCACCGGCAGUCUCCCUAGAGUGCUCACCAUUACAUGCUAGCAACUAAGGACAAGGGUUGCGCUCGUUACGGGACUUAACCCAACAUCUCACAACACGAGCUGACGACAGCCAUGCAGCACCUGUCUUCUGGUUCCUUGCGGCACUCCCGCCUUUCAGCAGGAUUCCAGAGAUGUCAAGGGUAGGUAAGGUUCUUCGCGUUGCAUCGAAUUAAACCACAUGCUCCACCGCUUGUGCGGGCCCCCGUCAAUUCAUUUGAGUUUUAACCUUGCGGCCGUACUUCCCAGGCGGAGAACUUAUCGCGUUAGCUUCGAUACCAAACAGCCAAGCUGCCUGACAUCCAGUCCUCAUCGUUUACAGCGUGGACUAC